GCUCUCCUAGCUCAGUGGAUAGAGCACCGGCCUCCGGAGCCGGGUGCCCGGGUUCGAUUCCCGGGGAGAGCG
Molecule: transfer RNA, 72 nt
Filed under: Spirochaetota bacterium
Lineage: Bacteria; Pseudomonadati; Spirochaetota
Description: Spirochaetes bacterium (wastewater metagenome) tRNA-Arg
Rfam family: tRNA
About the family: Transfer RNA (tRNA) molecules are approximately 80 nucleotides in length. Their secondary structure includes four short double-helical elements and three loops (D, anti-codon, and T loops). Further hydrogen bonds mediate the characteristic L-shaped molecular structure. tRNAs have two regions of fundamental functional importance: the anti-codon, which is responsible for specific mRNA codon recognition, and the 3' end, to which the tRNAs corresponding amino acid is attached (by aminoacyl-tRNA synthetases). tRNAs cope with the degeneracy of the genetic code in two manners: having more than one tRNA (with a specific anti-codon) for a particular amino acid; and 'wobble' base-pairing, i.e. permitting non-standard base-pairing at the 3rd anti-codon position.
Source: RNAcentral